Molecule: ribosomal RNA, 130 nt
Filed under: Asparagus officinalis (garden asparagus)
Lineage: Eukaryota; Viridiplantae; Streptophyta; Magnoliopsida; Asparagales; Asparagaceae
Description: 5.8S ribosomal RNA
Rfam family: 5.8S ribosomal RNA
About the family: 5.8S ribosomal RNA (5.8S rRNA) is a component of the large subunit of the eukaryotic ribosome. It is transcribed by RNA polymerase I as part of the 45S precursor that also contains 18S and 28S rRNA.
Source: RNAcentral
CAUCGAUGAAGAACGUAGCGAAAUGCGAUACUUGGUGUGAAUUGCAGAAUCCCGUGAACCAUCGAGUCUUUGAACGCAAGUUGCGCCCGAGGCUAUUUGGUCGAGGGCACGCCUGCCUGGGCGUCAUGCC